Molecule: ribosomal RNA, 404 nt
Filed under: Fusobacteriota bacterium
Lineage: Bacteria; Fusobacteriati; Fusobacteriota
Description: Fusobacteria bacterium partial 16S ribosomal RNA
Rfam family: Bacterial small subunit ribosomal RNA
Source: RNAcentral
UGGGGAAUAUUGCACAAUGGAGGGAACUCUGAUGCAGCGACGCCGCGUGAGUGAUGAAGGAAUUCGUUUCGUAAAACUCUGUUCUAUGGGAAGAAAAGGACUGUACCAUAGGAGAAAGCUCCGGCUAAAUACGUGCCAGCAGCCGCGGUAAUACGUAUGGAGCGAGCGUUGUCCGGAAUUAUUGGGCGUAAAGGGUGCGCAGGCGGCUUUACAAGUUGGAUGUGAAAUAUUGUGGCUCAACCACAAACGUGCAUCCAAAACUGCAAAGCUUGAGUUAAGGAGAGGUAAGUGGAAUUCCUGGUGGAGCGGUGAAAUGCGUAGAUAUCAGGAGGAAUACCGGUGGCGAAGGCGACUUACGGGACAUAAACUGACGCUCAGGCACGAAAGCGUGGGGAGCAAACAGG